AGGUAAGCUACUAAGAGCGAAUGGUGGAUGCCUUGACUGGUAAAGGCGAUGAAGGACGUACUAGACUGCGAUAAGCUACGGGGAGCUGUCAAGAAGCUUUGAUCCGUAGAUUUCCGAAUGGGGCAACCCAAUGUAUAGAGAUAUACAUUACCUAUAUAGGAGCGAACGAGGGGAAUUGAAACAUCUUAGUACCCUCAGGAAAAGAAAUCAAUAGAGAUUGCGUCAGUAGCGGCGAGCGAAAGCGCAAGAGGGCAAACCCAGUGCUUGCACUGGGGGUUGUAGGACUGCAAUGUGCAAGAGGUAAGUUUAGCAGAACAUUCUGGAAAGUAUAACCAUAGAGGGUGAUAGUCCCGUAUGCGAAAAACAAACCUUAGCUAGCAGUAUCCUGAGUAGGGCGGGACACGAGGAAUCCUGUCUGAAUCUGGGUCGACCACGAUCCAACCCUAAAUACUAAUACCAGAUCGAUAGUGCACAAGUACCGUGAGGGAAAGGUGAAAAGAACUGAGGUGAUCAGAGUGAAAUAGAACCUGAAACCAUUUGCUUACAAUCAUUCAGAGCCCUAUGUAGCAAUACAGGGUGAUGGACUGCCUUUUGCAUAAUGAGCCUGCGAGUUGUGGUGUCUGGCAAGGUUAAGCAAACGCGAAGCCGUAGCGAAAGCGAGUCUGAAUAGGGCGCUUAGUCAGAUGCUGCAGACCCGAAACGAAGUGAUCUAUCCAUGAGCAAGUUGAAGCUAGUGUAAGAACUAGUGGAGGACUGAACCCAUAGGCGUUGAAAAGCCCCGGGAUGACUUGUGGAUAGGGGUGAAAGGCCAAUCAAACUUCGUGAUAGCUGGUUCUCUCCGAAAUAUAUUUAGGUAUAGCGUUGUGUCGUAAUAUAAGGGGGUAGAGCACUGAAUGGGCUAGGGCAUACACCAAUGUACCAAACCCUAUCAAACUCCGAAUACCUUAUAUGUAAUCACAGCAGUCAGGCGGCGAGUGAUAAAAUCCGUCGUCAAGAGGGAAACAACCCAGACUACCAGCUAAGGUCCCUAAAUCUUACUUAAGUGGAAAACGAUGUGAAGUUACUUAAACAACCAGGAGGUUGGCUUAGAAGCAGCCAUCCUUUAAAGAAAGCGUAAUAGCUCACUGGUCUAGUGAUUUUGCGCGGAAAAUAUAACGGGGCUAAAGUAAGUACCGAAGCUGUAGACUUAGUUUACUAAGUGGUAGGAGAGCGUUCUAUUUGCGUCGAAGGUAUACCGGUAAGGAGUGCUGGAGCGAAUAGAAGUGAGCAUGCAGGCAUGAGUAGCGAUAAUUAAUGUGAGAAUCAUUAACGCCGUAAACCCAAGGUUUCCUACGCGAUGCUCGUCAUCGUAGGGUUAGUCGGGUCCUAAGUCGAGUCCGAAAGGGGUAGACGAUGGCAAAUUGGUUAAUAUUCCAAUACCAACAUUAGUGUGCGAUGGAAGGACGCUUAGGGCUAAGGGGGCUAGCGGAUGGAAGUGCUAGUCUAAGGUCGUAGGAGGUUAUACAGGCAAAUCCGUAUAACAAUACUCCGAGAACUGAAAGGCUUUUUGAAGUCUUCGGAUGGAUAGAAGAACCCCUGAUGCCGUCGAGCCAAGAAAAGUUUCUAAGUUUAGCUAAUGUUGCCCGUACCGUAAACCGACACAGGUGGGUGGGAUGAGUAUUCUAAGGCGCGUGGAAGAACUCUCUUUAAGGAACUCUGCAAAAUAGCACCGUAUCUUCGGUAUAAGGUGUGGUUAGCUUUGUAUUAGGAUUUACUCCGAAAGCAAGGAAACUUACAACAAAGAGUCCCUCCCGACUGUUUACCAAAAACACAGCACUCUGCUAACUCGUAAGAGGAUGUAUAGGGUGUGACGCCUGCCCGGUGCUCGAAGGUUAAUUGAUGGGGUUAGCAUUAGCGAAGCUCUUGAUCGAAGCCCGAGUAAACGGCGGCCGUAACUAUAACGGUCCUAAGGUAGCGAAAUUCCUUGUCGGUUAAAUACCGACCUGCAUGAAUGGCGUAACGAGAUGGGAGCUGUCUCAAAGAGGGAUCCAGUGAAAUUGUAGUGGAGGUGAAAAUUCCUCCUACCCGCGGCAAGACGGAAAGACCCCGUGGACCUUUACUACAGCUUGACACUGCUACUUGGAUAAGAAUGUGCAGGAUAGGUGGGAGGCUUUGAGUAUAUGACGCCAGUUGUAUAUGAGCCAUUGUUGAGAUACCACUCUUUCUUAUUUGGGUAGCUAACCAGCUUGAGUUAUCCUCAAGUGGGACAAUGUCUGGUGGGUAGUUUGACUGGGGCGGUCGCCUCCCAAAUAAUAACGGAGGCUUACAAAGGUUGGCUCAGAACGGUUGGAAAUCGUUCGUAGAGUAUAAAGG
RNAcentral lists this ribosomal RNA (2352 nucleotides) under Campylobacter jejuni. Its description in RNAcentral is "bacterial LSU rRNA". It matches the Rfam family "Bacterial large subunit ribosomal RNA", at positions 1 to 2357 of the family's 2925-position model. Lineage: Bacteria; Pseudomonadati; Campylobacterota; Epsilonproteobacteria; Campylobacterales; Campylobacteraceae. The record is from RNAcentral.